RNAcentral lists this ribosomal RNA (1346 nucleotides) under uncultured bacterium. RNAcentral's name for it is "partial 16S ribosomal RNA". It matches the Rfam family "Bacterial small subunit ribosomal RNA", at positions 28 to 1381 of the family's 1533-position model. The record is from RNAcentral.
GACGAACGUUGGCGGCGUGCUUAACACAUGCAAGUCGAACGGAAAGGCCCUGCUUUUGUGGGGUGCUCGAGUGGCGAACGGGUGAGUAACACGUGAGUAACCUGCCCUUGACUUUGGGAUAACUUCAGGAAACUGGGGCUAAUACCGGAUAGGAGCUCCUGCUGCAUGGUGGGGGUUGGAAAGUUUCGGCGGUUGGGGAUGGACUCGCGGCUUAUCAGCUUGUUGGUGGGGUAGUGGCUUACCAAGGCUUUGACGGGUAGCCGGCCUGAGAGGGUGACCGGCCACAUUGGGACUGAGAUACGGCCCAGACUCCUACGGGAGGCAGCAGUGGGGAAUAUUGCACAAUGGGCGGAAGCCUGAUGCAGCAACGCCGCGUGCGGGAUGACGGCCUUCGGGUUGUAAACCGCUUUCGCCUGUGACGAAGCGUGAGUGACGGUAAUGGGUAAAGAAGCACCGGCUAACUACGUGCCAGCAGCCGCGGUGAUACGUAGGGUGCGAGCGUUGUCCGGAUUUAUUGGGCGUAAAGGGCUCGUAGGUGGUUGAUCGCGUCGGAAGUGUAAUCUUGGGGCUUAACCCUGAGCGUGCUUUCGAUACGGGUUGACUUGAGGAAGGUAGGGGAGAAUGGAAUUCCUGGUGGAGCGGUGGAAUGCGCAGAUAUCAGGAGGAACACCAGUGGCGAAGGCGGUUCUCUGGGCCUUUCCUGACGCUGAGGAGCGAAAGCGUGGGGAGCGAACAGGCUUAGAUACCCUGGUAGUCCACGCUGUAAACGGUGGGUACUAGGUGUGGGGUCCAUUCCACGGGUUCCGUGCCGUAGCUAACGCUUUAAGUACCCCGCCUGGGGAGUACGGCCGCAAGGCUAAAACUCAAAGGAAUUGACGGGGCCCCGCACAAGCGGCGGAGCAUGCGGAUUAAUUCGAUGCAACGCGUAGAACCUUACCUGGGUUUGACAUGGAUCGGGAGUGCUCAGAGAUGGGUGUGCCUCUUUUGGGGUCGGUUCACAGGUGGUGCAUGGCUGUUGUCAGCUCGUGUCGUGAGAUGUUGGGUUAAGUCCCGCAACGAGCGCAACCCUUGUUCACUGUUGCCAGCACGUUAUGGUGGGGACUCAGUGGAGACCGCCGGGGUCAACUCGGAGGAAGGUGGGGAUGACGUCAAGUCAUCAUGCCCCUUAUGUCCAGGGCUUCACGCAUGCUACAAUGGCUGGUACAGAGAGUGGCGAGCCUGUGAGGGUGAGCGAAUCUCGGAAAGCCGGUCUCAGUUCGGAUUGGGGUCUGCAACUCGACCUCAUGAAGUCGGAGUCGCUAGUAAUCGCAGAUCAGCAACGCUGCGGUGAAUACGUUCCCGGGGCU